GAUGAACGCUGGCGGCGUGCCUAAUACAUGCAAGUCGAGCGAACGGACGAUAAGCUUGCUUCUCUGAUGUUAGCGGCGGACGGGUGAGUAACACGUGGAUAACCUACCUAUAAGACUGGGAUAACUUCGGGAAACCGGAGCUAAUACCGGCUAAUAUUUUGAACCGCAUGGUUCAAAAGUGAAAGACGGUCUUGCUGUCACUUAUAGAUGGAUCCGCGCUGCAUUAGCUAGUUGGUAAGGUAACGGCUUACCAAGGCAACGAUGCAUAGCCGACCUGAGAGGGUGAUCGGCCACACUGGAACUGAGACACGGUCCAGACUCCUACGGGAGGCAGCAGUAGGGAAUCUUCCGCAAUGGGCGAAAGCCUGACGGAGCAACGCCGCGUGAGUGAUGAAGGUCUUCGGAUCGUAAAACUCUGUUAUUAGGGAAGAACAUAUGUGUAAGUAACUGUGCACAUCUUGACGGUACCUAAUCAGAAAGCCACGGCUAACUACGUG
Molecule: ribosomal RNA, 497 nt
Filed under: uncultured bacterium
Lineage: Bacteria
Description: partial 16S ribosomal RNA
Rfam family: Bacterial small subunit ribosomal RNA
Source: RNAcentral